This 464-nucleotide ribosomal RNA is filed under the name uncultured bacterium. RNAcentral's name for it is "partial 16S ribosomal RNA". It matches the Rfam family "Bacterial small subunit ribosomal RNA", at positions 339 to 795 of the family's 1533-position model. The record is from RNAcentral.
CUACGGGGCGCUCCAGUGGGGAAUAUUGCACAAUGAGCGAAAGCUUGAUGCAGCCAUACCGCGUGUGUGAAGAAGGCCCGAGGGUUGUAAAGCACUUUCAAUUGUGAGGAAGGUUCAGUAGUUAAUACCUGCUGUUCUUGACGUUAACUUUAGAAGAAGCACCGGCUAACUCUGUGCCAGCAGCCGCGGUAAUACAGAGGGUGCAAGCGUUAUUCGGAAUUACUGGGCGUAAAGCGCGCGUAGGCGGAUUAUUAAGUCAGUUGUGAAAGCCCUGGGCUCAACCUGGGAACUGCAUCUGAUACUGGUAGUCUAGAGUUUAAGAGAGGGAAGUGGAAUUCCAGGUGUCGCAGUGAAAUGCGUAGAUAUCUGGAGGAACAUCAGUGGCGAAGGCGACUUCCUGGCUUAAAACUGACGCUGAGGUGCGAAAGCGUGGGUAGCGAACGGGAUUAGAUACCCCUGUAGUC